UCCUCCAUUACCCACAUCUCCCUCUGUCCUGCUGUCAGGCCUUAAGCUUGGCUAGCUUUCCGGGGAGCCCCGGAGGUCCUCUUGUCUCCCCGUCCCCAGACGGGAUCACACACUUGGGCUACUGACACAGCUCUUAAGACUUUUCUUUUCUACAGUUUCCUUUCAUUCCAGCACUCUGAGACAGACAAGUGUGAAGCCAGCCUGAUGAUCACAGAGCAAGCAAGUUCUAGGCGAGCCGCGGUUGCAUGACAAGCUCUACCCUUGAGCUGGAGCCCCGGGGCCAUCAGGGCAGGAACCAUGGUCCUCUCAAAAGCUGUGCGUCCUUAACAGCAACUGCUAAGCCCUCACGAUCCACAAUCACCCUGGAAUUGACAAACAUGAAACCUGCCCUCAGCGCUGGGGCGGAGGCAGACAAGAUUUUCUCUGUGUAGCUUUGGCUGUCCUGGAAUUCCUCCCUACAUAGGCCAGGCCUUGAACUCACAAAGAUUCACCUGCCUCUGCCUUCCAAGUGCCGCCCUUAAAGCAACGUGCCACAACUUUCAAAAGCAGACAUCUUUAUGUGUACACGGAGAGGUACGCACAACUGAACACAGUGCCAUGGUGGCCAGAGGGGGUAUCGGGGCCCUUGGGGCUACUGUGAGCUGAAGAUGCUGGGUGCUGGGGGCAGAGCUCCGUCUCUGUAAGAACAGUACUUGUUCUUACGCUGAGGCCUCACCAGCAACCAAAUAAACUAAUCAAUAACACGAGCUGUGGUGAUGCGCUGCCCAUGGUGUAUGCUCUGGUACAUCUUGCCACUGAUCUCCAGCUUGGUGCUGUGUGAGCUGCUUUUUAGUAUUUUGGGGGUACAGCAUGUCAAGGAACACAAGUGGGGAGCAGAGGGAGCUUUGGGGGGCCAGUUCUCUCUUCCCACCGGGUGGCACUGGGAAUUCAGUGAUGGCUUUUUCUUUUUGAGGCAGGGUCUUUCUGUGUAGCCCUGACUGGCCUAGAGCUUGGUAUGGAGACCAGGCUGGCCUCAGAGUUACGGAGAUUGGCUUGCCGCUGCUGGGAUCAAAGGCGCGAAGCAUCAUGAAUUUUACUUCCGUAUAGCUUUUGUUUAAAACAGCUUCGUUGCCACCAGACCCAGUUUAAAAAUACUUCAGUUGGGGCUGGAGACGUGACUCAGAGGUGAAGAGCGUGAGCAACCCUUCCAGAGGCCCUGAGUUCAACGCAGACAGACACAGAAACACUCCUCUCCACCCCUGCGCCCCCGCCCUUCUGUCUCUGUACCCAGCCUUCGCUGUCCGAGAACGCUCUAUUAGACCAGGCUGGCCUUGAACUCACAGAGAUCCACCUGCCUCUGCCUACCAAGUGGAUUAAAAAUGUGAGUUACAAGGCCCAGCCACCAACAAAACAAAA
Long non-coding RNA from Apodemus sylvaticus (European woodmouse), 1395 nucleotides. RefSeq lists it as uncharacterized. The transcript has 3 exons. The record is from RefSeq and is a predicted model, not a curated record. Lineage: Eukaryota; Metazoa; Chordata; Mammalia; Rodentia; Muridae.